Molecule: non-coding RNA, 24 nt
Filed under: Arabidopsis thaliana (thale cress)
Lineage: Eukaryota; Viridiplantae; Streptophyta; Magnoliopsida; Brassicales; Brassicaceae
Source: RNAcentral
CUCGACCCAAGCCACUAAGUGACU